Molecule: long non-coding RNA, 2976 nt
Organism: Triticum dicoccoides
Lineage: Eukaryota; Viridiplantae; Streptophyta; Magnoliopsida; Poales; Poaceae
Exons: 4
Source: RefSeq, a predicted model, not a curated record
AGCCCAACCACCCAAACCCUAUCCCAUCCCACUCCAUUGUCGCCGCCCCAGAUGCAAUCUCGCCGCCACUCCAUCCUCUCCAGCUCGCGCACGCUCGCCGCCGCCGCGGCCGCACUCAGGGCAUAACGGACUUCCCCCGCCUGGAUCUCGCGUCACUGCUCUCCUCCGUUGCCUCCCGGACUUACCCUCGCUCUGGAUCCAGUCUACCAAGAGCCCAACCUCGCUGCCAAGUCCAUUGCCGCCGCCUACGUCCUAUGUUCCUACAGCAGGCGCCGCCACAUCGCCCCCCCUGCUCGACUUUUUUUGUGAGGGGUUCCCCCUGCUCGACUCUGUCGGCUCUCCUCCAGCACGUGACCCAGGGUCGCAUGGUGGGCUGCGCCAGCCUGCCGGCCGCAGGCCCCUCGCCGACAUGGGCCCGAGCCCCACAAGGUGAGGCAGCCGCCCCUCCUCGCCUGGCGAGGCAGCUGGAGAAGAAGUCGCGGGACCGGAGGCUGCCAUAGGACGAGAUCCUCUGCUGCUGCUGUGUCUGGUGGUUGAAGAAGGGGUGUGUUGGGAAGAGGAGGCAGUGUUGAGAGUGCUCGAUCUGUAACAGGACGAGCUUGGGCUGCAUCGGCUCUGGUUCUCAACCUCCAACAUGAGUCCCUUUCUUCCGUGCCUCGAACGCCAUGAGUCAUCAUGGGCACUGCAGAUGCGGAGGAGUUUUUCCGGGGCGAUCUGCUUGUUCCCGGCCGCGCUGGUGUCAACUACCUCGAGCCACUAUGACCAUCCCAACCAUGCUCACCCCCCUGGACGAAUUGUUUGUGGAUCUGCAAAGGGGGAUUCAAUUAAUUUUCAGUUGUAGAAAAGGGAGAAGGGGGAUUCAAUUAAUUUUCGUCCUCAAGAUCAAAGAAACAAAAUCUUUGUGGCGAUGAUAGAAGGGGUUCACGACUUCACGUUAAUACACAGACUAUUGGUAAGGGCAUUAAAACAUAUAUCUGGUGUGAAAUGGUGGCACAUGCUUGAUUAGAAUAUUUUCAAGUGUUGUAGGUGUACGGCUGUGGGGAAACAUUUUCAUGGUCUAAUUUUCUAAUUAAUGUAUGCACGAGACAUGAAUCUUGGAUUCUAAACUUUUUCCUCGAUGUUUGGGCUUCCUCUAACUUUUCGUAUAUUGCACACAACACACCACAUAAAUUCAUGUCUUCCAUGCUUGCUGUCUUGUAACAAACAGAUGUUGGGAUGGAUACUAAUUUUCUAAAUGAUUUGAACUCAUGUUGUUUUCUAUUCUACUUUCAUUGGUUCAUCAUUCUGAACCAUUCAAUUGUUGGAACUCCGGCAUAUAUUGGUCCUGAAGUUAUGCUGAAGAAAGAAUAUGACGCAAGCUACGAUCCAUCCUAUUUUGUGCUUUAAACGGUCUGCUGCAUACUCUGCCAUCUGCUGCAUAACUUAAUUCUGUUUGCUCGGCCAUAAAAGCCUUACUUGAUUUCUGAAUCUUCCAUUCACCUUUUGUUGUCAUGAGUGGUGAAUGGUCUUGAGGAGUAACCAUUUAGAUACUGUAUGUUUUUUUGCUCAAACACGAUCUCAACAUUGAUAAUAGCAAAGAGAUAAUAUACGCCUUAUAAUCUUGUAACUGUAUGUGCAGAAGUAGUUGUGGUGUUCCUUCCACCCUAUGAAUUAGUCUGUGAAGAGGUGAAUAGUCAGGAGCCCCAUGGAGCCAAACAAACAUUAUGUUCAGGCUACAGAUUAUAUUCAUACUACAACUUGAGUCUGAAUUUGUAUUGAUACACGAAAAUGUCAUGUGUGCCAAGAAAAGCAUGUUAGCUGUACAAUCAAUUUUGGUGUGCAUUUCUUAUUUAUUUUUGAGUCGGACGUGUGCAUUUCUAAUUAGAAGUAGAAGAAGAAAGAUGUGACACGGACUUCCUAAGAUCACAUACAUAUAGUUGAAUAGUAUAAUUAGAAUAAUAAUAAUAAAAUUCAAAAAACUUAUUUAUUUUGGCUACAAAUUUGCUGGAGUGUUAUAGAUGUGCAUACCAUUUCGUGAAGGAAUAACAUAAAUGGUGGUCGGGACAAACAAAAAUUGAUCAUUUUUAAAGCUUCUUGGAGCAUCGAUUUUGUUUAAUAUUGUGCAAAGCAUCACAAAUAUUUUUUUCUUCAUGAAAUUUUGCACAUAACCAAAAAAAUGUAAUUUUGUUGGGGAGCAGGAUUGCACAUCUGAUGUAAGAUAAAGAUAUAAGUACUGUUAGACAUGAGACCUACUCGCGCACAUGUCAAUCUCAACAUGCAUCUUGUUGUUCCGUGCAACGCACGGGCAUCUUACUAGUGUUAUCCUAAAAUUGGCUAACUGUGGCUCAUAUUGUUUUCCCCAGGUAGCUCAUGGCGAGUGAUGCGUGAGCCAUCUCGAUCCUUUUGCUCUGUUAUUAUAUUUUAGCCAUGAAGGAUUUACUGCUAGUCAGUUCGUAGUGGAUCCGGCUGUUUGCUGAACUUCUGUUCUUGCUUGUGCUAUUUUUUUUACUGUUUAGAUGGCUCAAUUUACUUCCAAUUUUACUCUUGAGUUUUCCCAUGCAUGCAUACUCUGUUAAUUUAUUCCGAGUGCCCAUAGUUCCCUCUCUAGCAGCACCACUUGUGCUCUUGUCUCACCCAUAACAACAAUUUACUAGUAGUAUGUCUCUUGGCAUGGGUGCUAGCUUAGGUCCCUUCUACUACUACUCCACUUAGUAACUUGUCUGUAUUCUAUUACUUUGUACCUAUGUGUGUGAGCUGUGUUAUAUUCAUCUUCCUCAAGUACUACAACACUGGUAGUUGUACACAUAUGAUGGUGAUUCGCUCCGGUCAUUCCAGUUUUGGCGGUGGUGGUGCUGCUGCUCCUAUGAUGGUAGGCUCGUCUGAUUCCCCUAGCCGCAUCCAUGGUGAUGAAGCUCGGCCUAGGCUAGAACCCCCUCCAAUUUGCUUAAGAUCACGGAAGCUUGGGUUGAUGGAGUGCUUGUAUUUAGUUUUUGUUUU